Molecule: ribosomal RNA, 482 nt
Filed under: uncultured bacterium
Lineage: Bacteria
Description: partial 16S ribosomal RNA
Rfam family: Bacterial small subunit ribosomal RNA
Source: RNAcentral
AUUGAACGCUGGCGGCAUGCCUUACACAUGCAAGUCGAACGGUAACAGGUCUUCGGAUGCUGACGAGUGGCGAACGGGUGAGUAAUACAUCGGAACGUGCCCAGACGUGGGGGAUAACGAGGCGAAAGCUUUGCUAAUACCGCAUACGAUCUAAGGAUGAAAGCAGGGGACCGCAAGGCCUUGUGCGUUUGGAGCGGCCGAUGGCAGAUUAGGUAGUUGGUGGGAUAAAAGCUUACCAGGCCGACGAUCUGUAGCUGGUCUGAGAGGACGACCAGCCACACUGGGACUGAGACACGGCCCAGACUCCUACGGGAGGCAGCAGUGGGGAAUUUUGGACAAUGGGCGAAAGCCUGAUCCAGCAAUGCCGCGUGCAGGAUGAAGGCCUUCGGGUUGUAAACUGCUUUUGUACGGAACGAAAAGGCUCUGGCUAAUACCUGGGGCACAUGACGGUACCGUAAGAAUAAGCACCGGCUAACUACGUG